GGAUCAGUACGCCAGUCGUACUUCGGUAUGUACUGGUAUCACUGAUUCCUCCCUUCUGAUGAACCGUUAUGCCAUUUAGUUGGUGUGGCGGGGAAUCAGGACUGUUACUUUGAAAAAUUAGAGUGUUUAAAGCAAGCUCGCGCUUGAAUACAUUAGCAUGGAAUAAUAAAAUAGGACGUUUGAUCUCCUAUUUUGUUGGUUUCUAGGAUCGACGUAAUGA
This 220-nucleotide ribosomal RNA is filed under the name uncultured fungus. RNAcentral's name for it is "partial 18S ribosomal RNA". The stretch from base 37 to 220 matches the Rfam family "Eukaryotic small subunit ribosomal RNA", at positions 684 to 868 of the family's 1831-position model. Lineage: Eukaryota; Fungi. The record is from RNAcentral.